This 428-nucleotide ribosomal RNA is filed under the name uncultured bacterium. RNAcentral describes it as "bacterial SSU rRNA". It matches the Rfam family "Bacterial small subunit ribosomal RNA", at positions 30 to 455 of the family's 1533-position model. The record is from RNAcentral.
AUUGAACGCUGGCGGCAUGCUUUACACAUGCAAGUCGAACGGCAGCACGAGUGCUUGCACUUGGUGGCGAGUGGCGAACGGGUGAGUAAUACAUCGGAACGUGUCCUGAAGUGGGGGAUAACGCAUCGAAAGAUGUGCUAAUACCGCAUAAUCUCUCAGGAGGAAAGCAGGGGAUCGAAAGACCUUGCGCUUUUUGGAGCGGCCGAUGUCUGAUUAGCUAGUUGGUGGGGUAAUGGCCUACCAAGGCAACGAUCAGUAGUUGGUCUGAGAGGAUGAUCAGCCACACCGGAACUGAGACACGGUCCGGACUCCUACGGGAGGCAGCAGUGGGGAAUAUUGCGCAAUGGGCGAAAGCCUGACGCAGCCAUACCGCGUGUGUGAAGAAGGGCCUUCGGGUUGUUAAGGCACUUCAGUGGGAGGAAAGACGU